CGCCGCCCCAGCGGCCCCGGCCGGAGGAGACAGGUGAGCGGCCGCCUCUCCCGCCCGCCGCCCAGGCCCCGCACCUGGUCGCCGCCACCUGCCGCUUCCCGCCUCCCCACCCUACCUCCGCGCGGCCCGGCCUCGAGCCCCUAGUCCGGCUCCCAGCCCGCCCGGGCAUCUCGUCCCCGGGGAGGGGACCCUCACCCUCGCCUCCACGACCCGGCCAGGCGCGUCUCCCGCCGGGAUUCCCGCCCCAUCCUCGGCCUCCUCCCUUCUCUCCCCGGGCUGCACCUGCCUCUGGUCGCUCCCGUCCCAGAAGCCUCCUGGAGCAUCCCGGCCCCCUUGCCCGCGGUGCGCACCUUAUCACGGACUCGGUUCCCCCCCCCCCCGGGUCGUGCUCCGCAGCAUUCCCCCACCCCCUAUUUCCUCCGGUUUCUCUACCCAGAGGGAGCCUCGCGCCUCGCUCCCUCGGUCCCGACCCUGUCCUGCCCCCUCGGCCUGACAUCUAUUUCCUAACUUCUGAGAGUCCAGCCCCUGUCCCCUCUGCCUCAGCCUGCCUUCCUCCCUUCCCCCCCUCCCCGCCCCAGCACACACACGCCCCCAGCUCGCCCAUCCAGUGUUCCAAACCUCCGGCUCCAAGCUGUCCCCUGGGCAGCGCCUGUGUUUUGUCUUAUGUGCAUGCCCUCCGGGCUGUCCCUUUGAAGACACCUUUAUUUCCUGUGGCCGAGCUUGGCCCUGGAGGAGAGGGGCCGGUGCGUCUGUGCAUCCAGGUCCAGAGCCCCUGCCCUGCACAUUUCUCCGCGUCCCAGCACCGCUUUCCUUUUCCCGAGCAACCCCUCCUCCUGGAGCUCUCGAAUUUAACCCAUUCCUCCCCAAGGUGUGUUGCUCUUGAUUGGGUUAUUGGGGAGCACUUUCCAGUUGAGGGCUUUUCCAGGGGAGGUAUAUCAAAACGGGGAGGAAUGGUGGUUUGGGAAAAGUCCAGCCUCCUGGUUAGCUAUCCAUAAUAAUUCUAGAAAGUGGGGGGCGGGGGGGCGGUUGCUAGGGAGGAGUGGGAAGGGGUGGAAGGGGCACUUGAUCUCCUGGGGAGUGUGAGAUUUUUUGUUUUUCCAAUGGGGGCACCGUGGGUCAGACUGAGCCACCGAGCCGUAUCGGACACCUCAGCUGACUCCAGCAAAAGAGGCCUUGGAGCCCCUGGUUAUUGGGGCGUCUCCUAGUCCUAGAUCCUGGGAAGGGAGGAGGGUUUGGAAGGUGAGUGACCGAAGCAGUUGUUGUCGGGUCAAAUGAUUGUCAGAAUCGAAACCUGUUUCCGCUGGGGAAACGGUCUUGCCAGUGUCCUGUGUACGUGCCCUGCACUUUUCCUUCGCUACGACCGCCUCACACCCUCCGGCCAUCGACAGACAGGUAGGGCGUGGGGAAAUCUGUCAUCUCUCCGUUUUGUGCUUGGGGGGAAAAAAAAAAGAAAAUGAAAAGCUGGAGGAUUGGUUUAUUAAGUAGGGUCACUAAUGGUUGGUAUCAGAAACAGUAAUCCCUAACCUCUUUUAAAAAUUAGGAAUAGUUUCCUUGCUUUUCAGCUAGGUCUGAAUUAGCUAUUGAAGGAAAGAGUAAGAGUUUAUUUAAGGCUUGGGAGAGAUUUUGCAGAAUCUGCCUGAAGUUCAAGAGUGGCAGUGUUGGUAGUCUGGAGGUUUGCAGGCCCCGGGUGGAAGGACCCGGACUUGAUCAGGAUCUCUAGUGCGCCCUGGUGAGGGGGGUGGGGAAUAGGUUGUCUUAAAAAUUGGGAAUUUCGGCUCCAUUCUGGCUAAUUGUUUUUGUGGGCAGCAGCUGUAAAAGAAAGAAAUGGAUCUUUUGAGAUGCAUUUGAAAUGCAUAUUAGGUAUUUAGUGGUGGCUUUUUAGUGGCCCCGGCUGUCCCCCAGGGAGGCUGCCCACCCACUCCUGGGGCCAGUGAGUUGCCUGCUUCCCUUGCAGAGACGAGGGCUGUGGCCUUGGCCCGUGUCGCCUCGUGAGAGCAGAGCAGAGAUUGGACCGGGUGAGCUCGAGCUCCAAGGUGGCUCGCAGCCUCUAACAUCCUGGGGCUCUCUGUGUUCUCCAACUUUGCUUGUUGGAGAGGAGGGGAGCUGGGGAGGGGCGGGAGGAGCCUGGGAAUGGGGCCCUGCCCUCUCUGAGCCGGGAGAUCCCGCCCUGCAGGUCUGCAGGGGGGAGGGGCUGCGGCAACGGCAGCUCCCCCAUCCCCAGCGGAGGCAGGCAGUCCAAGAAGGUAUUUUGGCCAGCGAUUAGGUUGCUUGACGUUGGGCUGGUUUUAUCUGUGUUGUCAGAGGGACGGUGGGGGGAAGAGCGGACGGCUGCGCCGGGGUCCGGGCUGUAGUAUUAUUUUCUGGCCGUGGUGCCCGUUCGUCCCUAUCGCCCGUCUGCACCCUCUGCCCUCUCUGCCGUCUUCUGCUUGCCCUGCCAGCCCCGAAGCCCAGCCCCGUGUAGCCGUUAGGGGUGGUUCGUGACUGACAGCCUCGCGGCCUGGCACAGGGUCAGGGUGGCUGGUGAGCGCCGUAGGUGGCAGGCAACCCCAAAUUGCCAGUGCCCUCCUCGGGAACACCCCUGGCAGAGCCCCGUCUGUAAUCCGUGGAGCCAGAAUGCGCUGGAAGCCGUGUUCCUGGUGAGGGUGCUGCUGCACAGCCGUUUCCUCUGGUUCCCCAGAUUUCUUUAUCACAGCACAGUUCUGUUGACAAAGGUGCACUCAGGGAGACUCCAUUAGGAGGGCCGCCUCGACUCCAGGCCAGGAAACAUGAGAGCGGUUCAGCUUUGCUGAGUGGAAAUCUGACCAGAGGGAAAAAGCCUCCCAGAUGAGGAGCAGCCAUACAGAAAGGAGGGGGUGGGAGAGGACCCCGGGGGCGGGGGCAGUGUCUGCAGGGGGGCUCACAGGCGGAGGCCAGGCCCCCGUGCACCUCCCCCACAGGCGCCCGGACAAGGACCCCUUGUUUAGAUUAGCUUAAUUACCCCACCAAAAUCAACGAACAAGGAUCUUUUUAAACACGGAACUUUCAAAAUGUGCUUGGAGUGGCUUUUUUUUUUCCCUUUAUAAAGGUAUCAAAUGCUAAGCCUUUGUGAAAUAAGGCACUUGGAGCGAACUGGGGGGUUGUGGACCUUUUCACUGCGCGCGAAGGAAGCUUCCCGGCCCUAAAUCAGAAGGAAGCUUGCCAAAAGUCCUGAGUUCACCGGUCUGCACAAUAGCUAUUUUCAACCCGCUGCCGUUGGGGUAGCGGUAACACUGGAAACAUUUAGUGGGGGCCUAAUGGUGUUUAUGAACCUCCUUCCUUGGCAAGUGACUUUUAGAGGAGACAUUUUAAGAAGAUUAAAACGUCCACAGACUUCGAGGGCAACAGCGUAAUCCACUUACUGUUUUCGUGUCACAGAUCGAGUCCGCUUUAAGCUUGGCGUUCCCGCAGUGGCCCUUCCACUGCGGUGCAUGGGCCGAUGUCACUCCCACAGGAGCCGACGGGCAGGCAUUUGAGGGAGAUUGUGGGAAAUGAAAUUGGAGAGGAGGGCUCUUAGGUCGGUUUGGCUAGUUUGGACCCUUGGGUCAGACGGUGGUCACAGGGUCACACAACGAUCAGUGGCAGACUCAGACUCCGUAGGGAACUCCCCCCAGUGAAGGUGGCCGUUGCGCCGGGUUCUUGCCCCUGAGGGCAGACACAGGGGUGGUGCCUCCGCGAGGGCGAGGUGGCUCCCCCGCAGCCGAAGGGAUUUGCAGAGCCUUUUCAAGUUACUCAGCGGGGCUACCUUGCCCGCCCACCUCUGCUUGGCCCAAAGCCCAGGUGAGGGAAGCAUUGUUCGGUCGACCUCGACCGUGUUUUCAUCCUCCCAAACCUGUGGAAGGAUUUUGCUGGCAGAGAGGAAAACUGCAUUCCUGAACCAGUGCCCGAGGGGCGCUUUCCUUAAAAGUACCUCCUAACCUGGGAUUCUGCGGUGUGGCUGCCCCGGAGCGAGUGUUUAGAGUUUGCCAGAGGGCCUCUCCUGGGGUUCUGCCUCUGGAUCCUGGGGCCAUUUGAAUUGACGUGCAACUGAAUUCUUCCCAGUGUAGGGAAAGGAAGAUCUUGAACACAGAAUGCAUAGCAAACCCCUAAAAUCGCUGCUGAAGAGGAGUUGGAACUGCGGCCAGAUGCAGUGGUCACUCGCACAAAUCGAGCCAUCACUCGGUCGUUGCCAGGCCAGAAAACUGGCGCGCUUCUCACUGCCGACCAUUUAGUCCUCGCCCUGGCAAAAUCUGUUUAUCCAGAAGAGUACGAUGUUUGGUUUGAAAUGGGAAGGAAAUAUUUUUCCACCAGUUAUUUUGAGGGGAGGGGCUUUGCCACCUCUACACCGGAGAUGAACUUGUUUCGCCAGAGUUCACUGGACGUAACAAGGGGGGGGCGGUGUGGCGAGCACGUGGCUGCCUAAAUUCUGGGUCUUUCAGCCUUGGGUUGCCUCGUAGCCGAGACCUUCGGAGUUUUUUGUUCAUGCCCUGUAAAAGAACUUUGAUGAAAACUACGGGCACGUUUCUGAGUUGACAUUGAACUUUAUUGCUAAUUUUUUGGAAUUUUGUUUUGAGGGAGAGAGAAUCCCAAGCCGGCUCUGUUCUCUGCCCCGAGCUCUGGCGGCAAAGAGCCCGAUGUGGGGCUCGAACUCAGGAACCGUGAGAUCAUGACCUGAGCCGGUAGCAAGAGUUGGACUCUGAACCUGCUGAGCCACCCAGGCGCCCCAUUAUUGCUGAUUUUAAAUAGCUGAGAAAGAGAACAUUUUUGGAGUACUGUAAAUGUAGACAUUUUAAGUUGCAAUCGUACUGCUCUUGAAAGUAUCCGAUAUGAAAUUCACUAAUGAUUUGAUGACCACGGUCACCUUUUAGAAAACGGAACAGCAGACUGUGAACGGUUGUAAUGCGUACGUGUUCUUUUCCUCUCGAACUUGGAUGUUUGUUCCACUUUCCCUCGUGGAGUUUUAUUCUAAAGUCACAGGCUUUUACACUGGAAAGUCUUACUGAUUGUUCUUCACGCUUGUGACACACAUGUACAUAAAUUGUGGUUUAAAACAUUGCUGUGCUCAGAAGGCUGUUGUUAAGCCCAUCUAGAAGCAGUUUUUCUCAUUGUAAUUACCGAUACAAAACUAACCACAGAAGCAUAAAUGUAUCAUUGAUCUUCAUAAUUACUGAAUGCCCAAAAUGAAAAUACGUUGGAAGGUAUGAUCUGGGUGGGGGUCCAUUUGAAGUGCCUCAGUUAAAAGGAAUUACUGAUCUGCCCUUGGUGCCUGGUACACACCCUUGCUGCUGGAACAUUCCAGGGAGGAGUGACUCCUGCUGGUCCGGGAGGAAGGGAGCGUGUGAAGGCUGGGGCUGCCCCCGCUGGCGAGGGCUCAGGCCAUUCUGGCCCUUCCCUUGGGGACGUUGAGAUCUGUGGACUCAGGCUCCCAAAGGCACCCCACCUGAGAACCCCAAAGGUGCUUAGUGCAUGGAGGGGUAAAGAGCAUCUGCCGCUUCAUUACGUUUCGCUGUUAAGCGCUGAUCCGUGUGUACUUUAAUAUUUAAUUGCAUGUUUUCUGGACUUAUGUGUUAAAGGGCAGAAGAUGAUACAUCUCAUGAACGUGUGUGUUGCAGUCAGCGGCAAUGCAUUUUUAUUUGGUUGGGUUAAAUUUUAAGCUUAAUGGAAUUGUGCCUUGAGUUAAAUUUUAAUUUUCCAGAAAGAUGUGUUAGAAGCAGAAAAGACUGCUUGGCCAGGCCUUGGAUUCCGAAAUGGUUUUUGUCCUGCAGGAAUCCAGUGAGCCUGCCGUGCUGGGCUCCUUUCUGGGAGGAGGGGAAGGGUGGUGUUGACUUGCCUCUAGGAUGAGAGCCCUAGGGGUGGGGAUGAGGCUCCCGGGGUUGCCAAGGAACCUGACCACCUGGGGUUUGCAGAGGUGGGGGGCUCUCCCUGAGAGGCCUGGGCGGACCCAAGGACUUCCUCAGGCUGUUUGAAAGCCCUGGGCUGGAGAUGCUCUCAAAGCAGAAGCAUUCACUAUUGUUAGCCCAGAGACCAAAAAUGCUUUGGAUGGAGAGCUGUAGAACUUUGUAUUAUAAGAUGGUUUUGUGACAUGAAGGGAGUUUCCAAAAACAAGGGGUCUCUGGCUUCAUCCAGCUUUGGGGUUGGCGGGGUGGGGGGGCGGGGGAGAAAGCAAGCCACUUGCCUCGCUCCUUGGAUCUCAGGAAUGUGCGUCCUGAAGUUUUAUCUGUCUCCUGUCCUCGGGCCUGGCUGUUAAGAAUCCAGUUAAGAAUGCUUCCCCACGAGUUUGGAUUUGUAAAUAUUUGGGGACAAGUCCUGUCCUCGGUUUGUGAGGCAGCGCCUUUGUUCUUAGGGAUAAGGUCAGAAAGGAGCUAAUUCCGGAUUGUGUUCUAGGAACCCUGUGGUUUCUGUAAGCAGUGAGGAGUAGUGCUGGGCUAGGCAGCACACCAGACCUGCCCCGGUGGACACAGGGUGGGACAUCCGUCACGGGGACCCUCCACUGAUCUCUCAAGCACAAACCCUUGUUUACACUUUCCUAGCAUUUUGAGCCUUGAGCCUGAAAUCAGGGUUUCGGGCUCGUAAAACAAAGGCUAAACGAAAGAUGUGCGUUGCUGAAGGCCAGAGGUGACCCUGCGUGGGGGGAUUCAGUUCUGGAAACACUGCCUGUCUCCUGGGGCCUGACUCAGAUGCCCGUCUACACCCAGCCAGUCGUGCUGCACAGACUGGAGUCACAGAGGAGCUGCUAGUGGUUCUUCGCAUCGCUUGUGUAAACCCAUUUGCAGGGUAGGCUUGGAGGACGCAGCCCUCUCUCCCCGGCAGGCCCUGCACACCGCCACCCUCUGCUGGACGGAGCCAGAGCUGCCUGGCCCGAUGGCCGAGGUGGCCUCUGCCCUUCAGGGCGCCCAUGCGAACGAAGGAGCUCUGAUUUGGUGUUAGGGGUGGAGUAAGCAGUUGAGGCCGGCUUGAACUUUGCUUUGCCAGCAUGGGCUCGGCAAGCCUAGCGGGACGGGCAAGCCGAAGGGAAGCUUAGGGCUGUUUGAAGUGUGUUUAGCUCAUCCUUGAAUUAUUCAGAUGUCUAAAGUGUUUUUAAUUCUUAAGAGGAUAGGGAGGGGCCCUAUGCCUUUUACUCUGCAGCGGAAAUGUCCUCGAGCCCCACGUUGUUCGGGGUGCAGGGACCAUUAACAUCCAGGGCUGGCCCAUCCCUGGCUUUGUGACCUUGGCCCAGAAGCUACCCACUGCCCUGAGCUUCAGUGUGUAUGUUGUGAUCUGUGGAGCAUAAUGAGUGCUUGUUCCUGGUACUUAACAGGCCCUGAGAAACAUCCAGAAGGCCAAGUCCAACGCAGAACACUCAGCCUCAUUCUCUGUCUGCAAAACCCAGUCGGGGCUGUCUGUCAUUACCUGCAUUUUACAGAGAGGAGAAGGAGGCACAGAGAGGCCAAGUAACUUGCCCGAAGACACACAGUGAGUGGCUGAGCCUGGGGGUGAACCCUGGAACCCACCCACGAGACACGGGGCCCAUAGGUCUCCCGUGCAGCGCCACGAGCCCCAAAGCUGUGGCGCGCCUCCACCCAGAUGAAAAGCGGGGUUUACGGGUGUGUCAGGAGUGUAUGUUUUUGCAGUUUGAGGUGUCUCGUCUUCACUACAGUGUAUGUAAAAUACUGGUCACUUUUCACACAUGAGAUGGUGUUUAACGAUAAUCAAAUGCAAGAUAAAAUCAGGACCGUGUUUUUUUUUUUGGGGGGGGGGGCUUCUUUUUAAAUUUUAUUUAUUUGUUUUUGAGAGAAAGAGAGUGCAGGGGAGGGGCAGAGAGAGGGAGAGAGAGAGAAUCCCAAGCAGGCUCCGCGCUGUCAGCGCGAAGCCCGAUGCAGGGCUUGAACUCACGAACGGUGAGAUCAUGACCUAGCUGAAACCAAGAGUUGGACACUCAACUGACUGAGCCCCCCCAGGCGCCCGGACCGUGUUUGCAAGCGAACUAACCAGGUGAACCGAGAAGAGACCGUGCUUUCCGCACCUGCCGGGAAGAUGCAGGUGAAAGGAAGCACCUGUGCAGGCCGGUCAUCCGUCCUUGGUUAAUUGCUGACCGUUUGAACAACCUCUGCAGAAGUGAGGCUGUGUGUGUGUGUGUGUGUGUGUGUGUGUGUGUGUGUGUGUGUGUGUGUGUGCGCGCGCGCGCCGAUAAGAGUCCCGUGGAUGGUGUCAGUUUAUGGCUGUGAAGUUCAAAUAGGGUUUUGAUUAAAUCUUGUGGGUCUGUGGGAGAGUGGGAGCCAAGUAGAUGUGGGCCGUGUGGUUUCUGCCUGCCUCUGAUACGGUUUUUGAGAAGAGUUUACAACUUUAAUAGGGACUUCCUGCUGGUCCCCUCAGAACCUUGCCCGUCUGGGGAUUUAUUUUGCCCACGUAGUCCUGCCUCGGCUUGGAGCCCUUCACACGGGGACCGGGAUCCCAGGCCUGCCGCCCCACGGCGCCGCCAGCUCCCCGGCCAGAGGGCUUCGCCGUGAGGCUGAGGAAGGUCCUCGCUGCUCGGCGGCAUCCCAGUCCCUUUUGGUGGGAGUCCGGGUGCACUUGGCUUUCAGAACCCAGUCGAGGGGCAGGAAACCGCUAUGAUGUUCCCACUUUCUAAAACACCAAAUGGAUUGUAUGGGGGAGAAUCUGAAGAAGAAUCUGGAUUUCCUAAAGCCAUCGCUCAGCAGGCAUGUUUCCAGUAGAGUGUGGUAAACUUGGGGGGACUCAAAUGAUUAGUUCUGUUGAACUGAGUCCCCGUGAGACCCCAGAGGCACUCUGCUUUGAGUUCUGUCAUGCCUGGGCCUCGGCUGUCCUCCCUGUGCAUUGGUGGAGUCCUUGCAGCCCCAGGGGAUCGCACGGACGUCUGUCUUGGACAGGCACCUGGGACCUGGGAGUGCGCGCCGUGGGCCAGCUUCUGUGCCGCCCAGAGUUCACUUGUGAAUUUUCUUGACUGCUCUGCAUAGAAGCAGUGGUUUCCUUGCUUCACAGAUGAGAAGGCCGAGGCCCAGAGCUCUUUGGGGCCCGCCUGAGAUUCUAGCUGCUGACUGAAUUCUCUGCUGGCAAAUGUACGGGGGACAGUGGGAGACGCAUAAGCGGUUUUAGCCUAGCGGAGAGGUGACAGUUGAAGAAUAAUACGGAGACAAGAGUGAUGAUCUAAGGCCCGUCCAACACGAAAGAUGAUUAUCACCACCCUCAUGCCUGGCUCCUCAGGGAGGGCUUCCUGGAGGUGGAGGCCCUUUUAACUGUCCUAGGAAGAAACAAAGCCUGACUGUUGGGGCCCGAGGCUGUGAAGUGACAGCCGCACUUGGGUCAGGCAGCCAAGGACUGCUGGGAGGGGGUGGGGGCCCUGUGCCAGGGCCGGACUGCGGGGGGCCCCAGGUGCACUGCUGCCUUGUGUGGAGUCCUUGGACUCUUCCAGGAGCCGUUCGGCCUAGAGAGGUGUCCCAGCUCGAUGCCUGGGCCGUGUGCCCUGCGUGGCAUCCGUGCGAGCGCCCUGCUGGCUGUGGCUUGGUCCCUGGCACGAGGAGCUGCCUUUGGUGCUUCCUCCAUCGAGGUACACGCGAUUGCAGAGGGACUGGCUCCUGCCCUGCCCGGCCGCUUUCCGGCCUCCCUGGGGCGAGUUUCUGGGCAGCCCCCCAGGGAGGGCCGGUGGAGCUGCGGCGGCUGGUUGAAGCCGGUGCGGCCCACAGCUUUGUGUGCACCCGCAGGGGCCGCUGACGGGAGCUGGGUGCUCCAGACCAGCCUCUUUGGGACUCCACUGCAAGAUAAGAGGUAGGAGGGGCUCGAAGUGUCCCGCUGAGACUUCCGUCUGCCCAGUGUCCCGUAGUUGGGCACCCAGCCCCCGAUAACAUUUGAACUGAAAGCAGCGCUGUGGGGAGUUAUCUCCCUUUUGAAAAGAGAUCUCCUUGUCUUUAUUGAUGGGAUCAGGGGACUAGCCGCAGGUCACAUAACUGGAAAGCUGUGAGUGACCCUAGGAGUUCUGGUUGUGCCCCCUUGGGCCGUACAGAACAGCUGGUUGCAGGUGAGGAAGCUGAGGCUGGGAGCAGCGAGCUGGCCGGGUCCUGCAGAGAUUGGACCCUGCUGCCCCCACUUGUGACUUUGCUCCUUAAGCUGUGAGCCCCAGGGUCCCUACCCAGAACCAGGUGUGAUGGUCAUGGGUCUGCGCCUUAAGUCGCCGGAGGAGCAGGGCAGCCUGGGAGUGUCCAGAAGCCCCGUGAGCACCCGUACGCCUUCUGUAGCAGGUCCGCGCUCCUUGGCCGAGUUUUCUGAGCACUGCCCCCCACUACCUUCUGGGUCUCCCUUGCACCCCGAUCUGCGGCCUCUGUACCAGUCAGGGCUUCACCCGCGGAUGCCAUUUUGUGGCCCGUUCCUGCUCCCUCCGUGGGAUGCCAGCACCCUAUGCCAGCAGAAGAUAGACCUCUGGAUUUCGUGGAUCCCGAAGGCCAUGUGGAAAGCCAGCGUGGAGCCUGGCAGACCUGGCGAGGUGACCUGGGUCCGUUACCUGCCGCUUCCCGGCUCCCGGCCCUCACCUGUGAACUGAGGCCGCUCGGAGUGCCACAGGAUUAAGGGAGAGGCCUGGGUGUGGGGCGGCCCCUGGGAGAUGCUCAGCUAGGCAUGACCUAGGAGGUGAUUCUCCAGUGCUGCCCGGCCCCGAGGAGCAUCUGGCACCCCGUAGAUUCCCGGAAGCCCUCGGAGCCUUUGAGGCGGGUCCGAACGGGCCCUUCUCCCCACUCUGAUCCGUCCUCUUAUCGUGAGGACUGAGGAGCUCUUAGCCGUGUGCCAGACCUGCAGCCGCUGACCCCUGGCCGUGCACCUCGGUCUCUGAGGCCCGAGUACCCUGCCGGCGGUGGACUUCGUGGCAAGGGCUGGGACCCCAGGGCUGGCCCGUGGGCUCCGGACCCUCCUGCUCCUGGCUGGCAGCGUCCUCCCCGGCCGGCUCUUUGCCACCGGCUGGUCCUAAGCUCUAAACUAUUCCUGCUCACGUCUUUUCGUAGAUUUUCACCCCGGGAAGAUCUUGUCUAGAUCUUUUUUUUUUCUUUUUUCUUUUCCCCAAUUGCAAGGCUUUUAUUCGUGUAGUAUUGAUUCCCACCCUAACUGUGCCCUUCCCCCACACUCUGAGCUGAGCCCCCAUCAGGCUGUCUGCAGGGGGCUUCGGUUUACAUCUUAUACUUGCUAUGGCGGCAUGCAUCUCGCCCGCAUUUUGUGGGCUGUGGUGUAAGUCGACUACCCACCCUGCCGGCUACACAGCGAGUUACUCGUUUGCAUCAAACAGAGCCCACGCUUCCAGUCAGCGUGGGGUUGCCUUUCGAUUCCAUUUUCUUUGCACUGUCCCGGAGUAACUGCACCUCUGGGCGUCUGAAACCCGUUUUGGUGAUUCAUGUGUAGUUUGGGCCCUUCGGCCUACAGGCCUCUCGUCUGGAGUGUCUGGAAUCCGCGUACACAUCCCGUCUUGCCUCCGAGAAACUGUUCCAAGGCCGAUGGCUCUAGUCUUGAUUUUAUGAUGCAUUGAGAAUGAUCUUCUUGAGCCGCUCCUUCGCAAUUACCCGGAGGUGAUAGUGUUAUCAUUGCCAGCUGCUUCCUCCCCCGCGACUGAACGAGCCUGUGUGUCCCCGUCGUCACAGAAGGGUAUUGGCCGCUGUAUCUGUUGUGCCCUUCUGUUUGCAGGAAGCAGAUGGGCAUCGCAAGUAGAGUGAUGAGCGUUAGGGCCGUACAGAGGGGUGGGCAGGGUUAAGGGACACCGGCAAGGGAGGUGACACCCCACCCUGGGCCUGGCCGCAGCUGGGAGCCUUCCCCCCCCCCCCCCCCCCCCCCCAGGCACAGGGGCACCUGCACCCGGGGGCUGCAGGGGAGGUGGUGGCUGUCUGUGGCCAGCCGAUGCUGGCCAGUCAGGGCGGGAGCCCGGGAGGCCAGCGUCUUCACCGCACCUGCCACUGCUCUUCUGCGUGGUCACCGAGGUGGAGCAUGCGUGGAUGCGUGGUCUUCGGCCGCCUGCCAUGGUUCCCUGUUUGGUGGGAGCCGAUGCCUGUGGCUUUAUGGGAAUUUGGGGUCUUUGUAAGGUGGCAGAAGGGAGAAACUGAGUUGCCCAGCAUAGCUGAGAAACCCAGGCUGAGUGGGCUUUGCUGAGUCCAGGGUGCAGCUGUGACCAUCCUGCUACAUGUGACCAUAAAGUGGCCCGUGCCACUUAGUCUGAAAAAGAUUUUUUUUUAGUGUUUAUUUUUGAGAUAGAGAGAGACAGAAUACAAGUGGGGGAGGUGCAGAGAGAGAGGGAGACACAGAACUUGAAGCAGGCUCCAGGCUCGGAGCUAUCAGUGCAGAGCCUGACAAGGGGCUCGAACUCAUGGACUUGCGGACCGUGAGAUCGUGACCUGAGCUGAAGUCAGCUGCUCCGCUGACCGAGCCACCCAGGCGCCCCCUAUGCCGCUUAAUCUUUUCCUGGGGUUGCUGGUUUCCCGUUGUCUGCCGGGUGGCCUUGAAGCAGCUUGAGGGCAGUCUGGACUGCAUCGGUCCUGUGCACCGUGGGAGCACGGUGAGCGGCCGUGAGGGAGGAGGGCCUUGGUUAGAUGGGGUGUCUGUGCAGCUAGCUUUAGAGCCAGACACGGUAGAAGGGGCACCGCUGCACUCUGGACCCGAAGGAGAGAGGUGAUACCCGGACCCGUUGUCUAAAUGCAACGUGCAGGUCAGAGUAAGGUUUUAUCUGGAGCCUGGCUUGUGUUUUGGUUAUGAAACGUGAGAGCAGUGUUUUGCCGACCUGUUUUUUCUUGCUCAGUGUUUCCCCGGCUCUGUCUGUCCUGGGUUACUUUUGAAAAUGAAUGAGCUAACACCAUAUACAGGAGGUUCAAAACAAGCUCAUUAUCACCCUAGCGAGCCAAGUGAGUAACAUUUAUUUAGGACUCGACUUCAGACAGCACGGCCUGCUUGACAGAGGGACGGUCCCCUUACUUGUUCAUACUUGGAUCCCUUCUUUGAGGACCAGUUCUAGAAACUGUGUGGUUUGAUCUUUACUUUCUGAUGUCACCGAAUGUGUGGUGAGCUCUGGGAAAUUGUCUGGACUGGGCCCUUAUAGUUUUCCCUAAAUUUAGAAUUCAUCUUUCUAGUUUUGUUUUUAUCUGUCCUUUACCCCCUCCCUCCACCCCCGCCCCGUAUGAACCUAAACUGUUCAGUUAAUUCUAAAGGAAACUCUAAAGGGGAAGGCUGACUUUAAAAAUUACGGUAAGUAGGGGCGCCUGGGUGGUCUCAGCUGAGCGUGUAACGCUUGAUCUCGGCUCAGGUUGCGAUCCCAGGGUUGAGUUGACCUCUGUGCUGAAUGUGAAGCUUGCUUAAGAUUCCGUGUCUCUCUAUUCCUCUGCCCCUCACCUGCUUGCCUGUGUACUCUAAAAUAAAAAAAUAGGGGCGCCUGGGUGGCUCCAUCGGUUAAGUGUCCGACUUCAGCUCAGGUCACGGUCUCGCGGUUCAUGGGUUUGAGCCGCCCGUCGGGCUCUAUGCUGACCGCUCAGAGCCUGGAGGCUGCCUCAGAUUCUGUGUCUCCCUCUCUCUCUGCCCCUCCCCCGCUGGGGGGGUGCGCUCGCUUGCGUGCUCUCUCUCUCAAAAAUGAAUAUAAAAAUUAAAAAAUAAAAAUUAUGAAAAGCUGAUACACUCUGUCACAACAAAAAUCUCUUUAACCCGCCAUGUGACCAUGGUUACUUCCCUCGCUCCCCAUUGCUAACUGGGGUAGUGCUCCACCCUUUUGGGGUCAUGAGUUCCUUUGAAAAUCGGGUGGAAAGACAGCAUUUUGUAUAUACUUUAGGGAUCUCCUAACACCCAUCCAUGAUGAUCCUUGUCAGCACCCCCGUCUCUGGGCCUCAGCUAAGGAAGCCCUGUUUGGAGCCGAGGCUGCCUGGGCUGUGUGGAGUCCCGAGAGCGGGCUGCGUGGCCGGCAGUCAGCCUGAGACUCUGCCUUUGGAGGCUCCAGAACUGGGCAGAUGGCUCCGGCUGGCCGUGGGCUGGUCUCUCCCGGAGGGGUGUAGAGAGCAGCCCCGAGGGUGGUGGCUUGUCGUGUUUCCUCGUUGUGACCCAGACGAGCGGUGCCUGCGGACCCGGGCGUCUGUCUCAGGCACCAGUGAGUCUGGGAACCUGAUGGCAUUCUGCCGUCCGGAGUGGCGGCUGGAGUCUGUUGCGAUGGUGACAGUGGGAUGCUCCAGUUUACUUCGUGGGGAGAUGUAGGGUAGUUAAAAUUAGCAGUGAGGGUCGAGUCAAGGUUUUCCGGAAGAGUUCAGCAGUGUCACGUGGAGAUCGGACUUGGCAGUGGCUGGCCGGGAUUCCUGCCCCUGGGCCAAGCCCAGGGGGAAGGGUCAGGCCGGCCUGCGGCCUGUGCCACCUGCAGAGGGCCCGCCGGGCUGGACCGGGGUCUGCACUUGUAGUUCAUCCCCGGCCAGACGUACGCCCUGGGGUGGACAGUGCUCUGGACUCCAGAGUAUGUAUCCGUUGGACAGGGUGUGCUAUUAUGUCACGAUGUGGUACGUACCUCACGUACCUGUUACGGUAAAGCGGUCGGGUCGUAAUAGGUGUUCUUCGUUCAGCGGUGUAUGCGAUAGACCCAAGCACAAGGUCUGCUGCAUGUAGUAAGUUGUGUACUAUAAGGUGACGGCAUGAUACGUGUAACACUUACUUAAAGUUCCCUCGGAGGGACUUGUAGCCGUCUGGGUUCACGUUCUCCACUGGCUCGUUUUCGCUGACCCGAGGAGCAAUGUUUCCUAGGGAAACUGUGAUCGAGAGUCUGAAGCCACAGCGCCAGGAGAUCUCUGGACCCUUCUUGGUGCCUUGGGCCCGCCUGGCCGAGAAGGUGCUUGGCUGCCUCCUGGUUCACGGGAGCUGGGGGGUCGGCAAGGGGCCUGGUUUGCCCUGACUCUUGCCCAGCUGCCUGUUUUCUCUGCAGAGGCCACAGCCCCCCCGGGGAUCCCGCAGGGCUCUCUGGCACGUGGCCACUUGGUUCCCCCGGAGCCGGGACCGGUGGGGGCGGCCGGCUGCUUGGCAGAACAGCCCAGAUCUUCUUCUCUUUUUGAUGUUUAUUUAUUUUGAGAGGGAGGGCGCACACCUGUGCAAGCAGGGGAGGGGCAGAGAGGGAGGGAGAGAGAGAAUUCCAAGCAGGCCCCCCGCUGUCAGUGCAGAGCCCACGCGGGGCCUCAGCCCACGAACCAUAAGAUCGGGACCUGAGCCGAGAUCGAGAGUCAGACACCCCCACCGACUGAGCCACCCAGGCGCCCCGAGCCCAUCUCUUCUAAGCUGGGAAAUGUCCAGAGUCCCAUCCGUUUAUAAAAGCGCCUCUCCGUACUCUUCAAAUGAAGAGAAUGUGGCUUUAGUAUACGAAGAGUUACUGGUGAUAUUCAGCAAUCUCUUAACCCGCCUGCAGCCCUGAAGAUUAGAAUCCGGUCUGAGUGGGAGGCCGUGAGGCACAUAUCAUCUGUGUAACUCUACACGUUUCUCUAGGGGUCGUCUGUCGUGUGUGGAAAGUGAAGUAAAGGCCUGUCUUAUUUAUAUUUUAUGUCUUUGCUGGGUUUUUUUUUUAAAUGUGUUUUUAUUUAAUUUUUGAGAGGGAGACACAGUGUAAGCAGGGGAGGGGCCGAGAGAGGAGGAGACAGAGUCCGAAGCAGGCUCCAGGCUCUGAGCUGUCAGUGCAGAGCCCGACGCGGGGCUUGAACCCACGAACCCUGAGAUCAUGAUCUGAGCCGAAGUCGGACACCCAACCGACUGAGUCACCCAGGCGCCUGUACGUCUUUGCAUUUUUAUUUUAUUUUAUUUUAUUUUAUUUUAUUUUAUUUAAAAAAAAAUUUUUUUUUUCAACGUUUUUAUUUAUUUUUAGGACAGAGAGAGACAGAGCAUGAACGGGGGAGGGGCAGAGAGAGAGAGGGAGACACAGAAUCGGAAACAGGCUCCAGGCUCCGAGCCAUCAGCCCAGAGCCUGACGCGGGGCUCGAACUCACGGACCGCGAGAUCGUGACCCGGCUGAAGUCGGACGCUUAACCGACUGCGCCACCCAGGCGCCCCCGUCUUUGCAUUUUUAAAAGUAAUCUCUAUACCCGGUGUGGGGCUUGAACUCACCACCCUGAGAUCAAGAGUCGCAUUCUCUGCUGAGCUAGCCAGGCGCCCCAGUAAAAGACUGUUUCAAAGCAGGGAUUUUAAUCAGGCUAGGUUUUAGUUUCUUUGGUUAAAAGAGACAAGCGCAGCCCUCUGUGGAGCCACGGGUCCCACGUGCAGCCGCUCUGCCCCUUUUCCCACGUGGGCACGCGCUCCUAGCCUGGGACGGCCCAUCACCGCCAGCUUCUCCAGGUUACGGCCGAGGGUCUGUCCAGCUGCCUGCCUGCCAGCUUUGUUUGGACAAGGAGGGUUCCCUUCAGAAAUCAAGACCAGAAUGGCGCUCUUGUGUCUCCUCUGGUCCCCACCGCUUUUCCCAGCCUAGCAGUGACCUUGCCCUGGGCUGAAGCGGCCGUGGCCGGGCUGCUGCCCCACAUCCGCUGUGUCCUUCCUGCCCCCCCCGCCCAGUGCUGCAUCUUCUGGGCACCAGACUUGGUGGCUGCAGCUCCCUCACCUGUAAAUUGGGGCUAAUGAUAGGAGUCCCUGUGUCGGCCUGUCACGAGGGUUCAGGAAGUACAUGUCUGUGUGGCCGCUGGGGUCGGAACUGGCUGGUAGGAAGGACUUGGAGUUGGAGCUGGUUUUAUCCUUGUCCUAUACGAAACAGUUGCUGAUGGCAGUGUCUGCAGAGAGACUUGGAAGUCCCCAAGAGAGAGGGGGUGGGAUCCAGCAGGGGAAGUUGGAAUUCCGGAGGUGGUCCGCUCCUGUGUGGAGGGGUAGGGCCAGGCCGAGCAGGGGCGGGGGGAGGGCACCCGGGGCUCGUCCUGGCAGGUGCAGGAUGGUCAGAGGGGUUGGGGACAGAAUGAGAGCAGGAGGUUCCGGUGGCCGCGGUCUCUGCUUGUUGUUGGUCCCUCGUGUGCGUGAGCUGGGCCGGGCCCCUUGUGCGGUGGGGGCGCUAGCCUGGGGUGAGGGGCUUGCCUGGGAGAGGAAGUCAGGAUCCGGCCGGGAGAGUUGGGAUUCUGGGGAGGGGGGCGGCCGGGAUGGUGGUCAAGAGGCGCUGCUGAGGCCGCCCGGGCUUAGUAGCCGUGGUGUGAGCCACGUGUAGGCAGGAGGGGGUGAGAGAAACUUGGGGGAGUUAGGGCCUCGUGCCCUGUGCCCAGGGAGGCCUGCGGGCGCCUGGCUGCUGGUGCCGUAGCUGCUGGAGAUGCUGGCCGUGCCGUCUGCUCGCCGGUCUGAACACCAGGGUGCCAGACGCCCCCGGCUGAGUGGCCUUUGGCCCGGCGUGGACACCUGUGGCACCUGUGGCACGUGCACCUGUGGCAGCCCUUGAGGGGGGUGGUGGGCAAAAGGGGCACGGUGGCCCUUUCUGGCCUACAUGCUUUUGUUACUAGACUCACCAGAUGCCCGAGAGGACAACCUCUUUCAACAAAUCCCAUCAGGAACUUUCAUAUUUGUAGCUAACCGCCUUUAACUGGCUGAUCAACCCGCUAGGCCAGAAAGGCCAGCCUAGCCGUGGGAACCUUCCUUGGAAGGAAUUUGGAAAUCCACAUGUGCCGUGAAGUGUUAAUGAGGGGGUGUCAAAGGACCCCGGGGGGGGGGGGGGGGGGGGGGAGUGUGGGGAAGGCAGCGGCCCGCUCUCCCUGCCCCGUGUGUAGGUGUAGGUUGUUGCCUUGGGAAAACACCUCCGUGCCUCCAGGUGACCUCACCUCUCAGGCAGUCAGGGCCGCUGAGUCACGAUGCUGUAAAUCAUAUCCGCAAGGAAAGGUUUGUUAGCUGUGGUUAUGUCUUCUCCCUGUUAAAAUUAGUCUUGAAGACAGAGUGAGGUGUGUUGAGUUUAUAGCCUGUCUAUUACAGGCUUCCUGCCGGCCCUGCAGGCCUCGCUCCUGCGAUGAUACCGCCCUUGGUGCACGGUUUUAAAUUGUAGGAUCGCAGCUCGUGGAAGCGGAAGAGAAGGGACAGGUGCUUGGCUCGUGCCUUGCCGCUGGGCUCAUGGCCUUGGAGAGGUGAGUGACCCUCCCGGGGUCACGCAGUGGCCUUGGGGUCAUGCUCUUUUAAAUGUGCCCUGAUGGGGAAACGCUUGCUUUGGAACUGUAACUGUUACUCUGAUGAUGCUCGCCUGAUUCUGGAGAAGACUUAAGGUGGCUUAAGUAGGGAGUGUGUUGAAGAGGCACCUUUGAAGGUACAAGAAAGAUACACGUGCAGGUUUGCAAGCUUCCCUCGCUCUGCUUGGUCUGUUUCCAGCAGGUGCGCCGCAGGGCCGCCUCUCAGACCGUGUCUUUCCUGGGCUGCAGAGGCCAGGCCUCCGUAAGGGAUGGCCGAUGGGCAUAAACCACUGCCCUUCCUCCUUUUGUGGUCCCAAGUCCCCUAUUUCUAGAGGGAUCAGUGAGCUCCAACCCCUACCUCCUUGGGAGCUGGGUGGGGCCACAGGAAGAGAUGUUGGGGUCCCGGUGCAGGGGCUCCCCACAAGCUGGAGUUGCGCCUGUCUUUGAGGCACCUCUCGCCCAGGAAGGGGGAGGAUCUCCUUGGACUCCCCAGCGAGUAGCGGCCCACCCAAGCCAGUGCGUCUGCGUCCCCGUGCCAGGUACAUAGUCACCGUGGAAUCCCGGGGCACUGGCCUGAGUGACCCCCAGUGCCCUCCCUCCAUGGGACCCUCCCUCCAUGGGACCCUCCCCUCCUGCUGACGCCUUGGUGUUUUCCUAAGCAGCAGUGUCGUUCUUCUUCCUCAAGAUGCCCAGCUUGAGGACUGAUGUCCAAGGGUGGUUCCAGAAGCGUCAAGGGUACUGCAUCUGGGAUCGUUGCUAAAACUCAUUAUUUGGCGUCUUUACAGACUCUCUGCAGAGAGACUAAAAUCUCGCGUUUGCAAACAUCCUGGGCCUGCAAAGCUGCUCGGUUCGGGGUGGGCCCCAGGAAGUGUGUACAAAUGCAUGCGCGUAGCUGCUCCUUCCUCUGCUGUCUCGGAGUUCCGGGGCAGCCUCUGUCGUGGGCUUUCCGUGGCGCAUUCCGUUUCUGCCUCCAUCUGGUCUCGUUGGUCCUCGUUUCCUGGGGCAACACUGGUUCGGAGGUUGAAGGGACGGUGUCACUGGGGAGGAAAGCGGGGGGGGGGGGGGGGGGGUGGGGGGGGGGGGGGGGGGGGGGGGGGGGGGGGGGGGGCUGCCUCGUUCCAGCGCAGGCAAGGGCUGGCUGCGGCCAGAGGCGGGAGCUCUGUGCUCAGGAUGAGAGGGAGGCCUUUGAGGUGCGGUGACCGAGGACGGCCUGCAAAGAUGAUGAGGGUGGGUCCUUGUUCAGCGGCUGCCCUGACAGAGGACCUCAGGCUGAGGACCACCUGAGGCAGGCAGGGGCCGAUGGCCCCUUCGCACUGACUGGCCCAUGCUGGGCGCCGUCCUGCGAUGGGGAGAGAAGCCCCCUUUGGAGCCGGCAGACCCCGAGCCCCACUUUCAGCCCACUUCUGGGUCUGCGCAGGCCUUUGCGGGUCACGCGUUGUCUCUGGUUAGCCUUGCUGGGCUGCGGGGGCUGGGGUGGACACGUGGGACAGACACUCAAUGGCUGGUUAUUUUCUCCCACGUGAGGCCGCAGUGGGGACAGAGUAGAGUCCCUGGGGGAGGGGAGGGGUUAGCACCCAGGAGGACCCCCCCCAGAGGCAGGGAGAAGCGGCCAGUGUCCCGCCUUCUUUGUAGAAUUUGGACAAACAUGGGCCCACUUGGUGUAUUGGAUUAGGCUUUUAUCCCCCAGGAGAGUAACCAAGUAAACAGAAUAGAGUUUCUUUGGGCCACUGGCCAAAUGAGAAAUAUUUUGGAUCUGGUGACCUUUUUCUUUGGGUCACUAUUCUCUGUAGGAGGUUUUGACCCGUAUUGCAUUUCGGAAUAGGAAGAACGGCUUAUUUUUCGGAGUGGCAAAUAAGGAAAAGAAUGAAAGUCUCUCAGAGUCUCUGCUUGCAGAGGCUCCCCUGGGAGGAACAUUUUUAUAGACACCAGACGUCCUCUCUGGCUCGGGCCAACUUUCCAUCCUGAUGGCGGGGGCGUGCCAUGAGCCGGCCCCUCUCUCCUGAGCCGGCCAGCCAGCCUGCGGAGCCAGCCGGCACGAGCUGGGCUGACGCCCGCGGAGCCACGGCCCCUCUUCCCGCGGCUGAAGCGCCACCCGCCCCCUGGUCCCAGGGUCCCAGACCCUGCCUGUGCAGCGUCUUCCCCUGUGGUCGUGGGCUCCCUUCGGGGACUCUUCCUUCAUAGAUCACAGAGCUCUGUAUUCUCACAGUGAGUUGUGGCAGGGCACNNNNNNNNNNNNNNNNNNNNNNNNNNNNNNNNNNNNNNNNNNNNNNNNNNNNNNNNNNNNNNNNNNNNNNNNNNNNNNNNNNNNNNNNNNNNNNNNNNNNNNNNNNNNNNNNNNNNNNNNNNNNNNNNNNNNNNNNNNNNNNNNNNNNNNNNNNNNNNNNNNNNNNNNNNNNNNNNNNNNNNNNNNNNNNNNNNNNNNNNNNNNNNNNNNNNNNNNNNNNNNNNNNNNNNNNNNNNNNNNNNNNNNNNNNNNNNNNNNNNNNNNNNNNNNNNNNNNNNNNNNNNNNNNNNNNNNNNNNNNNNNNNNNNNNNNNNNNNNNNNNNNNNNNNNNNNNNNNNNNNNNNNNNNNNNNNNNNNNNNNNNNNNNNNNNNNNNNNNNNNNNNNNNNNNNNNNNNNNNNNNNNNNNNNNNNNNNNNNNNNNNNNNNNNNNNNNNNNNNNNNNNNNNNNNNNNNNNNNNNNNNNNNNNNNNNNNNNNNNNNNNNNNNNNNNNNNNNNNNNNNNNNNNNNNNNNNNNNNNNNNNNNNNNUCUCUCUUUCUCUCUCUCUCUCUCUCUCUCUCUCUCUCUCCCUCUCCCUCUCCCUCUCCCUCUCCCUCUCUCCCUCCCUCCCUCCCUCCCUCCCUCUCCCCUGCCCGUGGGUAGCUGACUGCUUACCGCCUGCAGCCGCUCGGGUGCCCUCGGUGUGGUGGGCCCCCGGCACUGCCCUAACAGUGCAGGCCGAGCUGGGCUGACGUCGACUCCUGGAAUGUCUGCAGAAGCUGAGAUGUUCUGGGCUGCAGCACCAAGAGCCUCCUCGUUUGUCCUCCACCCUGCUUUCCUCUCCUGCCCGUCCCAGGGCACUGGGUGGGAAGCUGUAGAUGGGCCCAGAACUCUCAGGCCGGGAGGGAAUCUUGCCGUGCUGUUAAAUAAAUACCUGGCUGCUUGCAGGCAGGCUGCUGCUGGCUUCCCCAGGGUGAGAAGAGCUAAGUGCCCCCAGCUGCUCCCAGCACAUAUGCCCUUUGUCCCAGCACACACGCCCUUUGGUAUCCUUGGGGUGUCUCAGCUUGACUCCUCCCUGACAGGCUCUGCACAGGCCCAAGACGUGGGGUGUCCUUUGGUGAUGAGUUUGUGGCAUAGGAGUGGCAGCGGCUUCUGACGAGUUUUGAUUGACAGACAUCCCAGGGGUGUUUGGGGUGGUUCAUUGAUCGGUGCUUCCCUACAGCUGUGCCCUUGGCCGGGAAACGCCUGCUGGCCGCCUGGCAUGGGUGUGGGGCAGAAGCGGGCUGGCAGAUCUGUGGGUACUGCCCAUGCUAGGCCCUGCCUUGCCGGACAGCAGACCCCGUCCUGCCACCUGUAGUUCCCGUCACAUCCAGCUUGUCCCCUUCCAUACACCCAGAUGAGAAGUAACCUCGGGGCUUCCGGAGGAAAGGAAGCACGGUCCGGCCUCCAGAUCUGUGGCUGCUUAUUCGGACAUCAGGGGAGCACAGCACAGUUGUCCCAGGCUUCAGAGGCUUUGUCCCCUGCAGAGGGAGCGAGCCUGACGUGGAGGGAGGCUGUGGUCUGUAGCCAGGGCCUCAGACUGACGAGGAUGAGGACGAUGAGGACGAGGACAAGGGACCGGCCUGGGUUACUGUGCUGGAGCACAGCAAGGUAGCAGGAGGGGCCGGGCUGGCCACAGGAUGUCUGGCCAUCUGCGUGCUGGGGACACAGGAGCAGCAAGGAGCACCGAGGGGUGGAAACCAACUCAGGAGGGUGCCUCCUGCGGGGCUGGACUCCAGGUGGGGGCAGGGGCAGCCUGGAGAGAGGGGCCCGCAGGUAAAAGGGGAGUGCUGUCACCUGCCAGCGAGCUCACACAUGCAGCGGGCUCGCAGGUUCCUCUGCUAAUGGUGGGCGAGCACCAGACUCGUCCUUCACAGCAGCUCAGGACACGUGGCCCGUUUUCAAGAACUUUGAGCAGUGGGGCAGGACCCUCUCGGAGGGUCUUACCAGCCCUGCCGCCCUCUGACCUGCAGCCUGCUACAUUUUGGGAUGCUUGCCCGGUUUCCAAAGGAGUUUCGCUUCUGCUCUCUCCUUUGCUCCUUGAAGCCUCCCCACUGCCGGCCCAGGUCACAUCAAAGCUCCAGCCCCUCCCUUUGCGCUGGCGGACCGGCCCCCUCCUUGAGCGCCUGGCCCUGCUGCCCUGUGUCUGCUGCAGACCUCCUGGACUGCACCUGUCCGCUCCCAGGCUCACCCACCCCUGGGAUGUACUGGCCCCUUGAGGGUGUCUCCCUGGGCGGACCCCUGCAGGGGCAGGUUCUGCCGGCAGAAAGCGCCCAGCACACGCACGGCACUGUCCGUGGUGGAGUGAGCCAACUGUCCUGCUCCCGCCGAAAAUCCAGUCUGAGCCUCUGUGCUUGGGCAGGUCUAGGCUUGCCUGCGGCCCUCCAUUGUCACGUGGGCCUCUGCUCUGACACCCUGGGUGAGAGGGUGGCAGGGAAGGAAGCCUCACCGGCUGUGCCUUAAGGUGACCUCUUCUCUCCACCCUCCUCUCCCCUCCCCUGUCUUUAGGUGCCUUAACGGGAGAGACCCUGCCCUAGACCAGAGGCGGUUUCUUUGUGCCCGUGGUUGUCCGUCCACUCCCCAGGUGGCCCGGAGGGGGCAACCCUGGUGACUUAGCCACCCUCAGUCCUCAGUGGUCAGCGUUCUAGUGCUGGGGAAGGUCCCGUGCAAAGGGGUCCGUGGGAGUCUAGGACCAACGCAGGUAUACCUUCCUUUACGGCGAAAUCACAGGGUGUGCUGAACCACUUAUUAACCUAAAUUUUUGUUUUUCCAAAAAAGAAUUUUUCCUUUUUAGUGACAACUUUUACCUAGAGUCGUCAUGAAACCAAUGGUAUUGUCAGUAUUGGAUUACUCUUUUAUUCUUCUGGCCUUUCGAAGCAAGAUCAGACCAUGUUCAGUAACUUAAAUUUUGUUAGAUUGUUCUCUGUUCAUUUUGUUUUUCUCUUUUAGGGCUCCGUACCUGAGUACUGUGUGAUGUAGUUGAACAGAGGGCUUGGUUCACCCAGGGAGUUUUCAACGCUUACCCACGUGUAAGGAGAAGCAGCCGCUGUUGUAGCGUGAGGGUUUGGGGCGGUGACCGCAGCAUCCUUUAGCGAGAGGCUGCAGGGUUUGGGCUCCGCGGUGCUCCUCGGCGGUACCUGGUCCUCCACACGGUCUGGGCGUGUUGUUCCCAUUUGCGGAGCAGGAGAUGAUGGCUGAGCGUCCGAGUCUCUGCAGUCAUGAGAGCCUGCGAUAGCGAUCCAGGCCGUGCGGCCUGUUUCUGGGCACCGCCGUCUGCAGUCCUGGAAGGAAGCAUAGCUUGUUUCGAGUGCAUUCCAAGGUAACUCGUGCCUGAGAGGACGUUCAGCACGCCGCUUUGUUUGAGAAGGAGCGUGAGGAGAUCAGGGCUGGCCUUGGACGAUUAAGGGGGUGGGAGUCAAGGUCCCUGGACCACGUCUUGCGGGGCCUGUGCUGGGGGAGGCUGCGCUCCACAGGCGCUCAGGUCCCCUCGCCGCCUGGCUGGGCCCGGCCCUGCUCCGGGCUCUCUCCCCGAGCCGGUCCCUUGCUGGGGGACUCGUGUGUCACCUGCGCCAGGGCUGGCUCUGUUCUGAGUCUGCUUCCAGUUCCUGUUGAGUUGCAAGCUACUGUGUUAAACAUAAAAAGCGCCCCGCAGGUGAAGUGAAGGGUACGUGACAUCUGGAGCCGGUCAGGGAACUGGCAGCACAGACAGGGCACACGCCCACCCAGCCUGGCCUUGGGGGCCGGCCACCUCCGGCCGCGGCCGCUUCCUUUCCCCUUCUGCACUUGCCGGCCCGGGCUGUUUAACUGUCUCUCAGGAAAUUCAGUUUAAAUCAGAUUUCACCUAUGAUGCUCCCUGUUCUUUUCCACCCCAACGAUUAUCUUAAAAUCUCUCCUUUUAAUUAACUCAAUUUUCCAGGUCUUUCUGGACGCCGGGUGGUUUAUUUGUUGAGUGCCUGGCGCUGUGCCCCCGAUCGGGAGAUGGGAGAGCCUGCCCUCCUGUGCUGGGCAGCCCCGGGCCGGGUGGGGAGCCAGGGGGCCCGGCAGCCCAGCCUCCGGCCAGGGCAGGAGCCCGGGCCACCUCCUGUUCGCGGGGGGGCCUGGGCCGCUUGCUACCCUCCGGCUGAAGCCGCUCCCUUUCUUCUGUUUAGAACUGCUUCUUUGGCAGCUUUCGCUUCUCCUGUAGGCAAGUCUCGAGCUAAUAUUUAUCCCGCAAAGUAUCUUAAAAAUGCUGGAGGGCCAGUAUUUGUGGAGAACUUUAUCAAUCUUUGAAAGAGAGUUAUUGUUACGUUGAUAAACUGAGGCGCAGUUUACAAUAGCCAGAUUGUGUUUGAACUUGCAACCUUUAAUUCAACAGUUAGUUUUUGUUAACAGAUGGAAUUGUUUUGGCUCUUCUUGUAAAGAGGUCCUUUAUCCAUGUGGUUUUUGUUUGUUGCUGGCGAGCAUUUGGCAUGUGCUGGGGGGAGGGGAGAGCGGGCCGCUGAGUGUGUGUCUGAUGCCCAUGUUAUGAUUGGCAGGCUUUUCAGGAACGUAGACUUUUGUACCUGAAGCCCUACCUCUUAAUGAAUUGUCUCAUUAAAACCGGAGGUGCCUCCUUCCAGAGGGAAAACUGGCCUCACCGUGAAAACAAACUUAACGUAGCAAGAACACGGGGUGGGUGGUAUUGUUUAGAUCUGAAGGAAAACAACACCGAUAGUGAACGUAUUCCUCAAGAAAUAAAGUAAAACCUUUCCUGAGGGGGUUACUUUUCAGUAAAAGGAGCCACUUCCUGGAUCUUGUCCGGAACCGUUCUCCUCCACCUGACAGCCCUCCUUGAUUCUCAAGCGAGUGAGUGAGAUGCCUCCUGCUGGGGUGGGGGGCGGAGGGCCCUGGGCGCGGUGCUGGUGCUAGGCGUGUCCGUGUCGGGGAGCAGUGGAAUGUCACAGUAAUUCAGGCGUGGCAGGUGGGGGCUGGCCAGAACUGGACACGGAGGCUCUCUCCCUGGGGCUGGGGCCCCUAGGUGAUGAAACGUGCAGUGGGUGCCUAGCAAAGAGGUCACGGUGGCACCUGCCUGAACACAGGCUCCCAGCAAGGCCCGGGGCCUGGCUCUUGGUGCUUGUGUUUGUGCCCCGUGGGGAACCUCAGGGACCCAGCACUUCCUCCUCGGUCAGCUGACUCACUCUGUCCUGCUGACUUGCUGUUCCUUCUCUGUCUCCACCUCUCUGUCUCUGUGUGUGCGCGGGUCUCUGUCUCUCUCGCUGCCUCCCUCCCUCCCUCCCUCCCUCCCUCCUGACUCUGAGCUGGGGCGGAUGUGUGGCCAGGGCUCUGGGUUGUUGGUGGCUGCGGCAGUGCUGGGGGGCCCUGUGUCCCGUGACUUCCCGCUGUCCCCACACGGCUGCACGGGGCUUCGUUCCUGUCUGUGCCCCCGUGUCCUGUAGCUGUCAGAGUCCAUGUUGAAAAGAUUGGGGUCGGUCGGAUUGUUUGGGGAACCUGAGUUCCCCCGGUGGCAGAAACCCCACUUCCUUGCUAAUAGGACUUUCUUCUAGAGAAGUUCCUCAUAAUACGUUACUUGCUUUUUUUUUUUUAAAGUUUAGUUUGAGAGACAGGGAGAGAAUCCCAAGCAGGCUCCCAGCUCUGUCAGCACGGAGCCCUAUGUGGGGCUCGAUCCCACAAAUUGUGACAUCAUGACCUGAGCCAAACUCUAGUGUCAGACCCUUCACUGGCUGAGCCACCCAGGCGCCCCAUGUUUGUCAUUUGCUUUUAUUUUGGUAAAAUAUACCUAACAAAAUCCACCAGUAAGCGCACGUUCACAGCUGAGAAACUCACCAUCACCACCGUCCACGUCCGCGGCUUCAUCUUCCCAAAGGGGGACUCUGUCCUUCCGUCUGCAAACUCAUCCUAGGCAGUAAGGUCCUUACUAAGCAGUAAGGUUAGUGCUGCGCGGUCCUGUGUUGAGCCCCUGUUGCCGUCCGGUACGAGGGCUGUCGGGAUGGAAGCACUCAGGCCGGCCUGCGGGACGUGGGGUACGUGCAGGGAGCACACCCCAGGUGGGAAGGGCAGUGUUGAGGGCGUGAAUUGCCAUUUGUCUCCAGCACGUGCCAAGUCUAACCUGCUUAUUAGCACGCGGGUCUGUGAUGGCACAUUCAGCUCCUGCUGUCGGCUGAGUUCACGUAAAGGAAACAUCACACGUGGGUCUGAGAACCCACUGUGCUCAGGGUGGCUUACUUGUAAGGACGCUCCUGCUUUUAAAGACUGGUGCUUCAGUUUCAUUAACUGUUUUAAGAUUCCCAUGGUAGAUAUGUUUUUAUUAAGGUGAUCUUUACACCCAAUGUGAGGCUCGAAUUCGCAACCCCGAGAUCAAGAGUCACGCGCUCUGCUGUCUGAGCCAGCCAGGCGCCCCUAGUUUCCUAGUUUCACGAACCUCUGGCCAGCUUUAGUGGGGGGAAGGCGGUGGUGGUUCUGUGCCUUUGUGGUCUCACCUGUGGCAUCCUGGUACUUCAUCCCAGUCAUUACCUGACUUGUGCCAGCAUUAGACGGAGCUUGCCUGUUUUCUAGAAUGGCGCGAGGGACGGCUGCGGGCCACCUGUGGCUUGCCGUGCGCGGAUUCGCCCCGUCUGGUGUAGGGGAAGGUGGCAUACGGGCUUCUAGAGCUCGCGCUAGGCCUGCUUUUCUCCACUGGCGCUCACCUGGAUUGCAGGCGUCUGGGGAAUCUGGGCUUCCCUCUAGCUCAGAGAGGCCCAGGCUCGUUCCCAGUGUUGUGUUUUUGGCCGUGUUCUCCGCACUGGCUGGAGGCAGCCUUCUGCUGGCUCACAGAGGGAAAUCCAAUCCCGGAGGGCAGGGGCGAGAGGCCCGGGGAACGUCAGCACCCACAGAUUAACGAGUGGGAAAGGUGCCUGUCGGUGUUUUCAGCUGAAAGACUCCAAUGGGGCCUUCGGUCCGGGGAGCCCAGGGCCAUCUGGGGUUUCAGGCAGGGAAAGCUGCUGUACAUCACCUGGACAAGAUUAGAAUUUCUUAAUCCCACGUGGGCCUCUUUCAGACCUCGUACAGGGCUGCUUUGUCUUGUCUCUUACCCUGCAGACAAGAGGAAAGAGCGCUUGACUCCCUUCUCCUUGACGGGCACAGGGUCUGGUCGUUGAGGCUGAGCCGGGAGUCCUCUUAAGUGCAGUGCACUGUGGGAGAAUCUGCGAACAGGGCGGGUGGCUCCGUUAGGGUGGAUGCCUGCCUUAGCCCAGCGGGGAGAGAGCUAAGUCCAGCGGAGUGAGUGUGCGUUACAGGGAGGGGUGGAAGGAGGUGCCGUGGACAGGAAAGCUGUGCGAUUGUGUUUGGGAACGGGAGGGGGCGGGUGGAUGGCUAGCGAAGAGUGAGCCAGGGGUACCGUCAACGACUAGCCUGCCCACACCAGCACAUGUGGGAGGGGCCUGGUGCUUGCCCGGGUGGGGCACAGUCGGUGAUGCCCGUGGCGGACUGGGAGAAGCUUCUGAGAUGGUCGCGGCGGUCAGCUCCGAGUCUGUACCAGUUGUGCGGACCCUCCGGUAGCUCUGUGCAUCAGUCGGUGGCUUUCCAGACCUGCCUCUGUUGGCACCGUUCGGGCUGCCUGAGACUCGGCUUUGUGAUCGGAAAACGCUCCUGAGUGUCCUGCCACACAGCGAGAUCUUCCUCUGUGUUUGCGGAGGACAAGCGGAUAAUCUGUUUUCAGAGGAAAUUUAUUGUUCCUUUUUAAAUUAGAAACAAACUUAGGUCCUCCUGAUGCAGAAAGAAUACAACUACAAAUCACCCAGAAAUAACACUCUUCUCUGUACCCAUUCCUCAAAAAAAAAGCCUUAGUUUUUUAUGAUCAUAAUACGUACUUGAUUUAUAAGCUGUUUGCACUUAAUAUUAGGUGUACUUCCGUAUCAACAGGGAAUCACGCCGCAUGAUUUCGUGUCUGCACGAACCACCCUUUAUGUACGGACCCUUCCGGUUUCCUAGUGGUGUAAUCCCCGUGCCUUUGUUUCCUCCUGACGAGGUCCAGAGAGGGAAUUGGAGUCGAAGGGUCUCACGUUUUAAAGCCCUGGAUACCUAGUGACCACGGCUUCGGGUUUCCAGACGCCCUUUCAGCGGUGCCGGGCUGCCGUGACGAAGUCCCUGUUGGACACUUGAGCUCGCCGGCAUCCGGGGGAAGCCCUGCUUCCGAAUGGCUGACUUCGCCAGAUGGCAGAAGGGUUAGUCAGUCAGGUACCAAACUGGGUUUCUUAGUCACGGAGAAUCGCGGGCCACCAGGUGAAGGGGUCAGUCCUCUCUGUUAGAGGCAGCGUGUGAUCUGAGCUGUUAAGGAAACUGGGAGCAGGCCCCGUCCCCACUUCCCCCUUCCGUGGGAGUUUGUCGCUGGAGCGGCCACUUCCUUGAGCAGAGACAGGAGGGGCAGGGGAAGCGGCUGUCCUGCCCCUCUCCUCCUCGCCCUGCCUUCCCCGGGUCUCCGGACUGGGGCCUGCGCACAGGGCGCCCCCGGGGGACUCUCCUGGGACCACCAUGUCCUUGACGUAGCACCACCUGUAGGUGCCGUAAGGGCUUUGUGAGAUGGAGGGGGUUAGAAAGGGCGUAGACACUCGGAGCGGCUCAGCGAUGUGUGCCAUCUUGUAAAUGGUGCGGACGUGACCCAUCGCGUCUGUGGAUCCCUGACCACGGCUCUGGCUUCAGGUGCACGGAGGGUAGUGGAGGACGGUGGUUUUGUUAAUGCUGUUUUACUUGUUAGAAAGGAAGAGUAAUUUGAACUCUGGGCCAUACACAAAGCCAUCCCGAAGUUCUCAUUAGCCAAAACGGUACCUUUUUUAAGAAAACUAGCUUUGAUUUUACUGUUGUGAGUAUAUUUCAUACUUCCCUUUAAAAACGGGCCUUUUGUAUUCACCUGAUCCACGGGCCAAAUUGAAGUAACUGAAGGAAUUCAUAGCGCGAGAGACCGUAGUUUCCAGUUUGAAACUUUUGUGGCACUUCCUCCUUUUUGCCUUAGGAUAAAUUCAGAACCUGGAAACCGCUUUGGUUGGAUUUUACAUAUAAAUACCAUCAAAAAGGCCCGUUGUGUCUUGGCAGUCUUUAGUGGUGUUCCUUAAUUACGCCCUUGUCUUUGAGGUCAGUUCCUGAUUAUAUGUAUGUAAUGUGAGGAAUUUUUAUUCUUAUUUUUUAAUCCCAUUUGGUGGUUACGAGUGUCCUCAGGCAGCCCGCAGCCCGCCUGUCUCCCAUCUCCUGGCACAGUUCCUGUGUACCUGGCUCUGCCCCUGGUGACGAGAUUGCAAGUUCAGAGAAAUACUGGUUGAUCCUACAAGCGUUUGCAGCGGUCGCCCACUUGGCGUCGCGGGCGGUCCUGAAGCUCGGGUUCCCUGCGCCUCCAGGGGUCCCGGGAGGGGUCCCCGGAGCUGCGUGGCGGACAGGCACGCCCUUGUUUCCAUGGCAGCCAAAGCUUCCUCUGACUCCAGUGGCUUAAGCUAGAACAUUUUAGAAGGAGGGGGUGGUGGAACCACUCACUGCUUUUUAAUUGAAAAGCAAAAUCCGUUGCACUGAGUUGACUCUGCAAAUCUGGGAACACUAUCUAAAGAUCAAAGGUAAAAAGUCACAGGAGAAAGUCUGUAUUUUAGCAUAAAGCAAAUGUUGCAGGGAUGUUCCCUCUGGGGGCAGUUCGUCCUUCUUUCCGCGUAAUUUCCUCCUAAAUGUUCUUGUGCCUGCUUCCUGGGUGCUGGAUGCUGGCCAUGUUCUCCUUCACAUUAGGGAGCAGUGUUAGUGCAAGAUGCAGAGGAAUCCUGUUUAGAGAGAUGCUUGAUGUCGAUCCUAACGCCUUGCCCCCUAAAAUUUAGGAAGAAAAUAAGUACUUUGAUUUGACUCAACAUGAGAAAUAUUUGCUGUCACGUAGACUGUCAUUCGAGUCAGCUGAUGUAGCUUUAGUGCCUGAUCCUGCAUUAAAAAAAAUUUUUUUUAAUGCUUAUUUGCUUUUGAGAGAGAGAGAGAGAGAAGAGCAGAGAGCGAGGGAGACACGGAAUCAAUCGGAAGCAGGCUCUAGGCUCUGAGCUGUCAGCACAGAGCCGGACGCGGGGCUCAAACCCAUGAACCGGGAGAUCAGGACCCGAGCCGAAGUCAGACGCAACCGGCCGAGCCCCCCCAGGCGCCCCUGCUCCUGCAUGUUUAAACCUGGCCCUGUGCUUGUGGACGGCGCAGGCUGGGCAGCUGCCUCGAGGGAAGAGGACGGCGGGGCGCAGGGUCCCGUUGGAACGCGGUGCCUUCCACGCUGUGUCCAUGUAGCUGGGUUCACACACGCAAGGCUCUCCCCAGGGCCCCCCCCCCCGCCCCCCUGGCUCCUUCUGGAAUGGGGUCAGGAGGGAGGUGUCGCGGUGCUUGCUGUUCACUCCCAUUUGAUUCACCCCCCCCCCCGGCCCCCCGUGUCCCACUGGGUGUUACCUAAGAGACACACGCAGUUCUUGGAUGUCUGGGCAGGUCUGUGACCGUGAGGAACCUGUGCCCGUGCCCUGGCCCCGUGGCCCUAGGAAUUCCUGGUAGGGUCCAGCAGCCCUCUUGGCAGUUCUGACGUUUUCCUUUGCAGAUGGAAAAGUGGGUGUGGGUGUGCUAAGCAAAGAAACUCUGGGGCCCUGUGAGUCCAUAGUGUUAAUCCGUGGCAUAGCAGCCUUCCCAUCAGCAUCUCGCACCGCGACUGGAAGGUCACUGUCUUUCCAGAAGGACUCUGCUGCCGCUGCGUUUCCCUGCCAGUGUGUGCAUGGUUACGCCAGCGUGCUGGGGGAGGGCGGCCCCUCUGGGGAGCACUGCAGCUGGGGCUCCUGCCUCUGGUUUAGCGCAGCGCCUGGGAUGACUUCACCUGUGCUCCUGCUGUGUCCCAUCGUCUCGAUCCCCGCCUGCACCUGGGGUAACAGGUCUCACGGUGGGCUGGAGAGACCGGCGCAGGAGGCUGCUCUUAGCUGCUGUGGAGCCCGGGUUGGGGCAGUGGGAGCCAGCGGUGCCCUCCCUGGUGUCCCACUAGGAAUGCAGGCCCCGCAGAGGCCUCCAGCUGGGCUGGGACAAGUCCACUAGACUGCACUGACGUCAGACUCGGCACCGAGAGCCCCAGCGGGUGGCCGGGUCUGGUGGUCUGGUGAAAUGUGGCCGUGCAGUGCUUUAUGCUCCAGGAGCCCAGGUCACAUCCCGGGAGACCCUAAACUAUACUGUUAAAAGCAUAGUCAUUCCUGAGAAGUUAUUGGGAGGUGUGGUGCCUUAGAGAGAAAAAAAACGCCCUAAGUAGUGUGUGCAGUUUGAAAGUUCACUUGAAUUGCAACAUGCCAGUUUUAAGGCGUUAAAAAACAUCAUCUCAGCUAUUCGUUAGCGUUGGCACACCGGUCUGCUUCCUGUUCAAAAGAGAAAGGGAUUUUCCUUGAGCUCUGUGCUUAUGCUGCUCUUUUCUCUAAAAGGGAGAGGUUUCUAAAGAUCAGUUUUCUCUUUUUAAUGGAGUAAUUAAGGGUUGGUCUGGCCCUCUACCUUCAGUGCUCAUAUGAGUCCGUUCCUUUCCAGCCGUCUGAGCGCCUCCACUGGCUAGGUGCUGGACCAGCCGGUAGUGAUGGGCGCCGGCGGUCUGCUCAGGCCGCCUGCCUCCGGUGGGAAGUGCCCCUCCCUUUUCCCGGGUGCCAGGGCAGGGGGAAAGGCGGGCAGCUGGUGCCGGCUGCCCCCAGGCCGGUGGGGCCUGACUGGCUCCUAGGGAGGCUGUGCUGCCAGGGUCUCGGAAGCAGGGCUCUGAGUUACUCAGGUGGACAGGGGAGGAGCGUGGGCAGGGGCCGUUCCCUCCCGUCCUGCAGACCUGUCCCCACCUCCCGGAGCUUCUGGUGGGGGUGGGGGUGUGAUACUGAGCAGCGCCCUACCCACCUAUGGGAGGGAGCGGCCUGGCCUCUGCUGGAGGUGUGUGGGAAGGGGGUGGGUGUGUGUGCCAGGUGGCAGGUUGUGUAAGAGGGCAGGGGAGGAGACCGCCAGCACUGUCCAGCAGGGGAGGGCCAGACAUUGGUCAGCGAGAGAGAGAGAGAGAGAGAGAGAGAGAGAGAGAGAGGCACCCAGGAGGAGCACUGGGGCCCCAGGGGUUGGUCCUGUCCUGCUGGCGGCUGCAGGGGAAUCCACUGAGAAAUCAUUUAAUUAGACUGACUUGUUAAAAGUGUAGCAAUAUUUUCAUCCCCUUGCUUCCAGGGGCGGUCCCUUUCCACAUUUCCUUUGCUUCAGUCUGUUAAUGCUCAGAAUAGUGCGUGUGCACGUGCACACACGCACACACACACACACACACACACACACACACACACACACGGCUCUCCCUUUACCAAUGACACCCUGUUCACAGCAAGCUGAUCCAAAGGAGCCAAGUAAAAACGGACGUCAGGUCUGACACGUGUCGUGUUUGGUUUCCGGAGUGUCCUCGACUGUGCCUUGUGACACAGAACACUCAAAGCCUGGGUUAUGAAAAGAUUUAAGUCCCAGUGAAGCCUUUGAUCAUUUGACGUGUGUCCAAAGCAGGACGCUUGACUGGAAGGGGUGCAGCUGGUAACCUCGCCGUGUGCUGGGCUGUGCGGUCAUCGUGCCCGCUGUGAGCGUGUCCCGCCUGGCUGUGGUGUGGGUGCAGCGCAGGUGCGUGGGUCCGCCAGGGAUCUGGGUCCAUGGACUGGGUGGAGGCCUGGGUCUGCGUUUGUGAGUGAACUCCCUCGGCUGUCCUGAUCCAGACCGAUUCACACUGUCUCCGUCCACACGGGCUCCCAUAGCAAAACCACACCCUGGGGGGCUCCGAAACAGCAGACACUUCUCUCCGUUCCGCAGGCUGGAAGUCCAGCCAGGGUGUCGCCACAUUCACCAGCUUUCUGUCUCAGGGGCUUACUUCCUGGGUCAUAGCCCCUCUCUUGCUGUGUCCUCACAGGGUGGAAGGAGCCAGAAAGCUGUGGGGUGGCUUUCAUAAGGGCACCGAUCCCAUACGUGAGGGUUCCGUCCUCACGGCCUAAUCCCCUCUCAGAGGAGUUUGGGGGGGGGGGGGUCACGCACUCGGAGCAGCCACACACAUUUGAGGACACCACAGAGUUACACGCCUAACUGAAAUUCAUGUUAACUUUGUAUUUCUUGAGCCCACAUUUCGUAGACAAUAGAGGCACUGAGUGAUGGGAGGAGACAAGCCUGGGUUUCUGCAGGUGACACUUAUAAUCCCAAAGGCAGGUAAUUUCAGGUGUGAGAAAGUAUUCCCAAGGAUGGAACAUUCAGUGUGACCACCUCUUGGUUCCUUUUUUGUCAGAUGUUUUUGGUUGUGUGUGUGUUUUUUUUUCUGUAAGGACACACAUUUUUUUCUUAUCAGUGAACUGUUUUUUACAACAGUUUUAGGUUCAUAGCAAAACUGAGCAUACAGUACCGAGUUCCCAUGUGUCGUCAUCCUACACAUUCAGCCGCCUCCGUCUCCAGCGUCCCCGACCACAGCGGUUCCUGUGUUACAGCUGACAAACCGGUACUGACCCUUGGUCAUCAGGCCAAGUCCGGAGCUUGCCGUGGGGUUCACUCCUGCUGCUGUGCGCUCUGGGUUUGGGCAGCCGGGCGACGUGUCUCUACCAUUGUGGUGUCGUGGAGAGUGGUUUCACUGCCCUGAAAUUGCCGUCUCCACCCCCGCCCACGCCACCCCACUCCAGCCCCGGGCAACCACCAAUGUUUUUACUGUCUCCACGGUUUUGCCUCUUCCACGGUGUCAUAUAGUCUUUGGGGACUGGUUUCUUUCACUUAGCAAUGUGCAUUUAAGGUUCUUUAGUAUCUUUUCGUGGCUUGAUAGCUCAUUUCUUUUUAGUGCUGAAUAACAACAUCCCCUUGUCUGGCUGGACCACAGAUUAUUUAAACACUCACCUGCUGAAGGACACCGUGGCUGCUUCCUGGUUUUGGCAAUUGUGGAUAACACUGUAAACAUCCACGUGCCGGUUCUUGCGUGGACAGAAGUUUUCAGCUCCUGUGGGUAAAUGCCAGCGAGCGUGAUUGCUGGAUCAGCUGGGAAGAGCUCGUUCGGUUUGUGAGAAACCCCCGAACUGUUUCCCAAGGUGACCGCGCCGUUCUGCGUCCCCAGGAGCCGUGAGUGCGCGUCCCUGUUCCUGAGCGCGCGCCCCUGUUGCUCGGCGUCCCCGACAGGUGCUGUCCGUGCGCAUGCUCCGGCCACGCCCAGAGGUGUGUGCUGGGAUCUCGUAUUUUACAGUUUUCUGACGCUGCGUGACGUGGAGCUUCUUUCCGUGUGGUUACUUGCCAUCCAUGCGUCUUUAGUGAGCUGUCUCUGGGUGUUUUGCCCUUUCUUAAAUCAAAUUGUUCGUUUUCUUGUUGAGUUUGUUGUGUAUUUUGGAGAUGUGUCUUUUGCAAAUAUUUUCUCUCAAUCUGUGGCUUGUCUUGUUACAACAUUGAUUUUAUGUUGGAAAUCAAUGGGAUUUCUUAAAUGCUUUUCAGGAAAUAACCUUAUAAACAGAUUUGCCAGAAUGCUUCUUUCUUAUCAAGGAUACUUUAGACUUGCUUGAUUAAAUUUUAUGUCUUUUUAUACUCUUGGUCUAAAAUCUGAUCAUCGAGAGAGAGAGAGAGAAAGCGCGAGAGGGCGAGAGCCAGCACACACACUCGAGCAGGGGAGGGGGAAGAGUGAGGGGAGAGAAUCUUAAGCAGGCUCCACGCAGGGCUCGAUCCCAUGACUGUGUGAUCGUGACCUGAACCAAAAUUAAGAGUCUGACGCUUUUAACGACCGAGCCACCCAGGCACCCCGAAGUAGACCUUAUCAUCUACUGCUGUCUGCUUGGUUUCCCUGGCUCUUACGUUGUCUGUAGGUUGGUAUUCUUUGCCAUGGUCAUCUGGUGAGAGAGGGAGGCAGGCUGAUGGUAACGGAGAGGACCGUAGUAGUAAAUAUUUUACAGGGUCAUUGGAGGUUAACAGUUGAUGACGUUUUAGAAAAAUGUUAGCAGUUCAGUGGAUUUUCUGAGGGUAGGGAUGCCUGUUUUUAACUGGUGGGUGUACAAAACAGACAGCUGUGGCCGCAAACGGGCCGCCGUAACGCAUUCGCUGCCCACCUCCAGGGCCCGGAGUGCUGCCGGCGCGCAUGCGUGCCCGUGCGCGUGCGGGGGCGGCGUGGAAGGGGCGGGACGUGUUUGAGGUGCGUUGCAAGCGUGCUCCGAUUCCCGCGAGCGUUAUCCAGGAGCUGUGGCUCCGCGGCUUUUGUAGUCGCACGGCUUUCGAAUGUGCGUGGAAUCUCCAAGUUGAACCCAAGCUCCUGGUGCCUGUCAGAAAUCACGCUGCAGCUAACUUUUGAUGGCAUUCAGUUAACAGCGGCUUUCCACAUCGCGAAUGGUAGGAAGUCACGUGUUCUGGCAUCGGUUACUCUUAAAUUAGAAACAGGACAAUAGAGGAAGUUGUUGAUUGGAACAAUUGUAGUUUCACUAAGUGCAUCUGCAGAUCAUAACCAAACUGUUGUCCCCGAGCGCGCUGACGGUCCCUGGGCUCCAGAGUUUCUCUGCUCGGGGAAGCCCGUCUGAGAGGUGUUGCUGCUCUUCUGAAUAGAAGACUCUGGAGUCGGAGGUCACAACCUGUCCACGUUCUUCGGCUCCGCGGCAGGGUCUUAGGCAUGUGCGGUUUCCCGUGCUCUGGGGUCUUAAGCUGCUUCAGUGCAGUGGCAGGGUUUCGCCUGGGCAUGUUACAUUAGGUACUUCAGAAGGGAACAUAACAUGCUAAUGGUUUUAGUCAUUUUGGUUAAUGCCCCAGCAUUUAUGUAAAACAGCGUCCUUAGAGAAAACAGUUUGCGAGCUAGAAGAGUACUUCCCGUGCCUCACUUUGUGGGCAGUUAACCUGGCUUUCGGUACCCGAUCGCCCCCCUCGGUGCCAUGACUCCCCCGGCACCCAGGCCCCGGGUCAGGGCAGGGCAGCCACAUGGCCCAGCCCUGCGGUGCUCCAGCUCCUUCCUUUCCUUCUCAAGGGUUCUUUCCAUUCCUUUUCCCGUGGAGCCUCCACGGAAAGGGCCCUAGACAGUGAGGGGAGACCGUUUCAGACUCUUCUGCAGACUUUUUAUGCCCAGGAAAGGUGCAGCCAUCUGCCACCUGGCCCCUUGUGCCUCACUCCUGAACAAGUGCUGUGAUUUAGUUCAGUUCAGACCGGCAGGGACCCCGAAUUCCUGUCUGAGGAGCCGAUGAUCGGGCUCCACACAGCGCGCACGCGAGCUUUGGAACAUCACCCUCUGUUCCACCAAGUUGGGGACUGCACGUAGUGGUUUGGUUAGUUUGGUAAUGGUCAGUACGUUUGUCAACCUGGUGAUGGCCUUUUUGUCCAUUCUCACUCAGACACUAAAGAAUUAGAUUAUCAAAUUAAAAUGUAAAAGUCAGUAGCCUUAAUUACACAGGAAGGGGGACACGGGGGCGUUGCAGAGUAUUGGAAAUGUCCUGUGUCUUGACGUAAAUUUGUCAAAAUGUAAUGAACAUGGUACAUCUUCCUGCCUGUAAGUUGUACCUGAGCAAAUGAAUAAACAUCGCUUACUGGCCGUCUCGUAGGCAAACUAACUGAUUGGGAAAUAUAAGGGAAGAGAAAAUCCCAUUUACAUUGGCCACAAAAAAGAUAAAGAUUGUUAGGAAGAGGCUUACCUAGAAAUGUGGAAAACUCGUGGAAGGAGUAUUUCGAAAUUCUUGCAAGAGGUACUGAGGUGGUCUCAGACAAAUAGAGCGAGAGCCCUCCUUCUCCGGCACGGCAAUGUAGCAACCUACAAUGGCCGUUCUCUCGGGGCUGAUCUAUGAGAUUAAUGGAAUCACAUGAGAGUACCAACAAAAAAUACUGUUUUUCCUGAGCUAGUCAAGCUUUUAAAGUUCGUGUACUUAAAACAAACAUGGCAGAAUAAAUAGGAACAUGUGGGGAGAUAGCAGUGUUAUUGGACAUGGGCAGACAGGCAUGCUAGUUGAACAGAAUAGAAAACAGGGAAACAGACCCAAGAACCGAUGGAAAUUUGAUGUAUGAUAAAGAGGAAUCUCAACGUUGGGGGUGGCCUUCCAAAUACAUCCCGUUGCGAUGAUCAGAUGAUCGUUGGGAAAAGAUAACGGUAGAUCCUUACCUCACACCAUACACAGGAAUAUGAAUCCGAGAUCUAAAACGUUCCCACUAGAUUUUCACUGGGAACUGAUGGCCAAGUUGAGCAUCCUACAGCCUGUAUGCGUAGCCUCAGAGUCUUUACGGAAUGUGCUAGGUGUUCUCAAACCUAUCCGAUUAGGCCACUACAUCUCCCAUGUACUAUGGACCCUUCAGCUGUGGCUCUUUAACAGAAAUAACUUGCAUUGGCUCUUCUGUCUUUAACUGGCUCUCCCCUCACAGGCUGGGUUGCCACGGUCUCUGAUUUAGUUCUUCACGUAGCUAAUGCUCGUAUUGCUAAGUGCAUGAUGCUGAAAUUUUAUUUUUAAAUUAUUUUGUGUCAUCCCCUAAAAUGCUUAUAAAAUCCCCAGGGCUUGCAGGAGUGUUUGGCAACAGUGGCUUCGCCAAGUGCUGUCUUGCUGAUUAGCAGUUGGGCAUUAUCUUCAAGGUGUCGGACUGUAAGCCAGGUUAGUCAAACCUUGGAGGAACCCGAGCGUCCACUGACGUGAGUGGAUUUUGUUAGUUCGGCCUCAUUUAAACUUACUGGUUGGAAAGCAGCUUUGACUCUGGGAAUUUGUGCUAACUUGUGAAGGCAUUCCCACCGCGGCUUGAGGAUGCUAACGUGGUGAGUCCAUAGAGCCGUGAGACGCGGUUGGAGUUUUGUAUUUACUAACUGCUGCUUAAAGUCAAACUAACCGAAGAUGCUAACGAUAUUUGUCAUUUUCAUCAAUAUAGAUGACAGUGAAGUUGCCUGUGUAAAAUCUAUUCUUGCCACUUGCCACUGCGUUUGCACGGCUUGAGGAAGGGAAGCCAGCUGUGUUAAUGCCUAGACUCCUUGAAUGACAGGUAAACCCCACACCACGCUCAUGCCAUUUCACGCGGGCUUCCCUGAGGCCUGACCCUGGUAGCCGGCCGCCCCGACCAACUGGGCGCGAUGCUCUCCGAGAGCUGGUGCGGGUGGGGGUGGCUUUCCAGUGUAUACGGCCCCUAGUGCGUACUGGUCAGCUGGUGGGCUGGCGCUCAUUCAUUCGUUCAUUUAUUCAUUCGGUCUCUCUGUAACCUCACCGGGCUCCUGCCGUGUGGCCAGGCACAGCGGGGGGUGUGGGGACAUGGGUGGUGGCAUCUUCUGUGGGAGUUUCUCUGUUUCCCCGGGGCGAGGGUGGCUGUGAGAGCUCCUCUCACGAGGGGGUGGGGCCAGUCUUCCGGGGAGGGCCGAGCUGGAGAAGGGUCCCCAGAGAUGCUCUCUGAGCAUAUGGUGGGGGGGUGGGGGGGGGCGGGGCCCGCCGAAGCCAGGUGGGGCUUUCUUUAGAGCUCCCCAGAGAAUCGUGUACUCUCGAGGGGAAAUAGCUGGAACCCUUCUCCCUGUCCCAGACCGGAUCCCAGAGGCCACCUCCUGCUAUGGGAGAGUGUGGCUGGAGCCCGCCUGUGCUGGAGUCCCGUCUGCUUUGAGCAGCAACUGAUUGGGUCCAUAAAGGGGCAGGAUGUGGACCUUGCCACAUCUGGUCCUGUUGAUUGAUUCAAAAUGUAAUAACAUAAAGUGUCACGUUUCAGCAUUUCUGGAGACUUCUCCCUGUUUAAUCAUAACCUUAGAACAGUGUUUCUCAUCUUUGACAGAGUUGACGUUUUGGGCUGGAUCCUUGUCUGCUGUGGGGCCGUGCUGAGCAGUGUCUCUGGCCCCUACUCAAGUUGUGAUAACCAGCAGUCUGUCCAGACACUGCCUGGUGUCCUCAGCGGCACACGGCUGCCCCCGGUUGAGAACCACUGCCUUAAAACAGCUCAAGUCUGUUCCAUAUGGAGCGUGGCUUCUAGCUGUUGCGGAGACGGCCCCAGCAGAAACUGCCUUAUCUCAGACUGGGUGUCGGGACGGCCCCAGCCGUGGGUAGAGGGCACUGGGACGGAGCUAAAGGGUCUCGUGUUUGUAAUGAAAUCACUAGGAUUCAUAGAAAACCGAUGACUCAUUUCUGCCCCAAAAACCCCGGACAGUUUGGGCUUUUACAAAAGCCCAGAGUAUGUCUGGACAUACUUUGUUCGCAUAAAAAUCAUCUGUCUUAUUUGGUGGAUGGAAUAAGGCAUUUAAAAUCAUUGACCCUAUUUUGGCGUAAGAAUCACAGGUUGACAAAAGGGUUUCUUUCCUUUCGUUUUCUUAGGCUGGGAAUCGCUCCACAGGUGGGGAUAGAGAGUAAGAACAGCAGGUGUUGGUAAUUGGGUGUUUUUGUGUUUUUUUUUUUAACGUUUAUUUAUUGUUGAGGGGGGUGGGGAGAGAGAGAGACAGACAGACUGUGAGUGGGGAAGGGGCCGAGAGAGGGGGAGACACAGAAUCUGAAGCAGGCUCCAGGCUCCGAACUGUCGGCACAGAGCCCGACACGGGGCUUGAACUCAUGAACUGCAAGAUCAUGACCUGAGCCGAAGUCAGAUGCUUGACUGAGCCACCCAGACACCCCUUGGUUUGGUAAUUGUUAAUGUUGGGUGAUUUUUUGUUUUCAAUAUCAUUUUGUUUACUUUUUGUGUUAGAAGUGCUUUCAUAGGGGCGGCUGGGUGGCUCAGUUGGUUAAGCAGCUGACUCUUGAUUUCGGCUCAGGUCAGGAUCUGAAGGUUUGUGAGUUCGAGCCCCAGGUUGGUCUCUGUGCUCACAGCGAAGAACCUACUUUGAAUCCUCUGUCUCUCUCUCUCUCUCUCUCUCUCUCUCUCUCUCCCUCUCUCCCUCUCUCUCCCUCCCUCUCCCAUGUGCACUCUUUCUCUCAAAAAUAAAUAAGUGUUAUAAAAAUUGAAAAGAAGUGGUUUCAUAGUAUGUUUUCUAAAAAGGUAGAGGUUAGAAACCGUGGGCUUUUUUUUUUUUUUUUAAUUUAGAAACCGUGGUUUUAACGCAGAUAUUAUAUGGUAGGGGACACUUAGAAAAUUUGUGAGGAGUCUCGAGCUCGGGGAUCCUCAGUGUGAAGCAUAGUGGCGUUCAGGGGCCGUGAGGGGCACACGUGCAGUCAGGACACGGACACGCAAUGGACGUGCGAUCCGCAAGGAUGUUGCUGCACGAAGGGGGCCGGGAGGCAGCCCCACAGUGGUGAAGUGGCGGGGAAGAACUUGACCUUGAGGGAGGGCAGCCCGGCCUUGCCCAAGGUUGGGGACCUGCCAUCGCCCUGGGGCUCUCUGAGGGGGCGCUAAGUGAAAGUGGCCCUUAGUUUCUCAUUCCUUCUCGGGGGAAGGGAGAAGGCACUAAUUAAGAUCAUCUUUGGCUAUGUGAAUAGUAACUAGAAACAUUUUUAUUUAAACCUUUUGUUGAAAAUCUCUGGUAGGAUAUCAACUCACAGACCUACCUUAAUAUAAAAAAGACGUGAACACCAUUUGUGUGAUUUUGGGGUCCCCUCUCUUUUAAAACUUUUUUAGAGAGUGAGCACACACGAGUGUGUAAGCAGGGGGAGGAGCAGGGGUGAGUGGGGGUGGGAGGGAGAGAGAGAGAGAGAGAGAGAUAGAGAGAGGGAGAGAGAGAAUGAAUAUCUCAAACAGGCACCACGCCCAGUGUGGAGUCUGACAUGGGGCUUGAUCCCACAGCCCCAGUAUCAUGACCUGAGCUGAAAUCAAGAGUCGAACGCUCAAGCAACUGAGCCACCCAGGCGCCCCCACAGGGUCCCCUUUUUUAAUUCAUUGCAGAUUGAACAGAACCCCAGUUCCUGGAGGCCGGACUCCAGCAGAGUGCAUGGGCAGAACUGCAUCCUUAGUCUUGCCUUGCGUUUUCCUAAAACCUUUCUAAGGGGAAAUUUCGAGCUAAAUGCGAGGCAGUCGAUGCUUUAUUGUGGUCUGCUCCUCUGGGGAGAGAAUGCAUCACAAAGCUGGGUUGUAGGGACCAGGGCAGGGUAAGUGCAGGAUGGGGUCGGGAGUCCCACACCCCUAGGAAGGUGUGUGGGUCGGGAGUCUGUGAGCCCCCGCGUGUGAUAUUCAGACUUCGGGAUGCAUGUACUUUUUUCCUGGAGAGGGGCUGUAACUUUCAUUUGAUCAUCAGAAAGUUUCAUGACCCGAAAAGGUUAAAGACCACCGCUGUAGAUGGCCCACACAGCAAGAACUCAGCUGCCUUUGGGUGGACUUUGAAUGUCCCCGCUUUAGGUGGCAAAACCCCCCGUUCUUGCCGUACCUACCCUCCCGCUUUCCACCUCCUGGCCGACAUCUCCGCUCCUUUUCCAGCCUCCCUGCCUCCCCCGCCCCUCCACCCCCACUGCCGGCCAGUCUGCUGAUGGUUAUUGCUGGCCCGGGAGCGGAAGUUGAGCUGCCUUCCUCUGUCUGCUCGUUUUUUUCUGCCCUGGCUUCCCUCUGUUGUCCUGUCUUCAUCCUGCCCCAGGAUUAGAUCCAUAGAAGAUGUUUCUCUGGGAGCUGGGGUCUGUUUUCUCUGCAGCUGACCCAGAGUAAGCACCAGAGACCUGCGGCGGUCUGAGGUCGGGGUCUCCCAGGUGGCCGAGGACCAGUCCGUGGAGCGCCUGGCCAGCCAGGGGUGGGAGGCCACGUGGCGGCCGCCCCCGACUGACUCUCUGGUGGGGUUGUUUUCCUCUUUUGCAGAUCAACGAGUCACUCGAUGGGGAGCAACGGCGGACCACCUUUUUGUGUCACCUUCCCACUUCUCUGUAGCAAGAAAAAUCACUUCAGCACCUCUUCAAUAAUAAUGAUGAAACUGGUAUUAACUGAAUGGCAAUUAUGGAUUUUUAACUCUAAUUCACAGUAAACCAGCAAGCCAUAUGUUUAAAAUCCAACCAAAAAUCAUUCUGUUCUGCUGCGUGUCUCACCCGAUUGUGAGAAGUGGAGAGAUCUCUGUUUGUACAAAGAGGGAUAUAAGCAUCACUUGCCGGAGGAACACAACUGAAGCAGAAGGAGAAGGUGUCCUAAUUUAUCCUUAAAGAUAUAUGAUAGCAUUAUUUAUAUAGAUAGAGGAAAUAUAUAUAUAUUAACAAAUAUAUAUAUAUAUAUACACACAUAUAUAUAUAUAUUUUUGGUGGUAAUGAAAAUGGCUCCGCAAAAUGCCGACUCAGAAUCUAUGCAAGUUCAAGACUUACCUGUGCCCCUGCCAGACCUGCAGAAGCCCGGAGGUGCGGACACCCACUACGAGACCAUCAGCGAGGGGUCCAUAGACCGGAUCCCUGUGCGCCUGUGGGUGAUGCACGGGGCCGUGAUGUUCGGCAGGGAGUUCUGUUACGCCAUGGAGACGGCACUGGUCACUCCCAUCCUGUUGCAGAUUGG
RNAcentral lists this long non-coding RNA (42576 nucleotides) under Lynx pardinus (Iberian lynx). The record is from RNAcentral. Lineage: Eukaryota; Metazoa; Chordata; Mammalia; Carnivora; Felidae.